Molecule: long non-coding RNA, 2644 nt
Filed under: Salmo trutta (river trout)
Lineage: Eukaryota; Metazoa; Chordata; Actinopteri; Salmoniformes; Salmonidae
Description: lncRNA (ENSSTUG00000035917.1)
Source: RNAcentral
UGGUUUAUAUGUGCACGUCCGGCCUCCAGUCCAGACGUCACCCACAGCGCUAAUUGGGCCCGACCUAUUGGAUGAUUAGCGGGUGAAGUGAGGACAGGUGUGUGCACUGGGGACCGCGCUCAGCGAGGGGACGCUCAGGCUGGGGUUGAAUCAUUCCAGUGUGUCCUCAUCCCUUCUUACCUUCCUUUCGCACUCUCUUAUUUCCUUUUUUUCUCCUUCCAUCCAUUCUUACAAUUCGUUAUUUUUCCUUCCUUCAUUAUUCGGGACAAGUAAAUAUCUAAUGAUCAUGUUCUGGAAUAUGUCGUGGAAAAUGACAUCUACUAUAAACUCAGACCAUGAACGCUAGUGAUGGGUCGUUCGCGAAUGAACGGCUCUUUUACGCAAAUUUGUUUCAGUGAGUAAAAAAAAUCCAGACAUUGUUUUGCAGGCCAUCUAAUAAUUUGGCCAGGUAAAAAUGUAUUUGAAUGUGCAUUUCACUAUGACAUACUGGUAGCCUACCUAUUUGGGAUUUACAUGGGAGAUUUGCAAUUUGUCAUGGUUAUAUGUCGAUUUUUAAACAUUUUCAACGAAGAGCCGUUUGGGAGCCAAAUGAGCCGGCUCUUUUACGUCAACGGAGCCAAAUGAGCCGACUAACCGAAAAUAAUCGGAAUGCCCAUCACUAGUGAACUAUGGCAGAAUUUCAUUAGUCUAAAGAAGCUUCCCCCCUGAGUCCUUUCCUUAAUCUGCACUGGUCUGAAAUAAUUUGAUUAAAAUGACAAGUAGCUAUUUAAUGGCACCUAAUCUUACGAAAUACAGACAGGGCUAUUUAAUAUUUACUUGUGUGUAAUCAGCAUUGACAAUUGACUGAUAUAAAUCCAGAAUGAUUAUGGGGGUUUGGUUUCACUUAUUGUGUUGGUUUCAGUUCUUGGGCGGGAGGGCGUGUCUUCUAAACAGAGUACAGCUGCUGAUGUGCUGUGUACUGUAGUUGGUGGUGAAGCAGUCUGAAGUAUAAGAGAAAUGUCGAGAGGAAGACAAAAUCAACGCUUUAAGAAACUGAUCAUCCUUCGAGGUUUGCCAGGAGUUGGAAAGACAAGCAAGGCAGAAAUGCUCUGUGAUGAAUAUGCAGGACUUGGACUGGAAGGAGAAAUUUUCUCCACUGACAGGUACCAUGAAAGAACCGACUACACCAAAGGAAACUUUCAACGCAACCAUCGGCGGAAUAGAGAGGAUGGUGUGUAUUGGGUGGCUGGGGGCAGGGGCAGAAACAAUCUGCUCAUGAUGUCAUUACACACACAUAGUUUGUUCUUCUUUAAAGUACUGGUACUCUGGCUUGUUUUGACAGUUUUUAAAGCCUUGAACAGAGGAGUGGAUCCGAUCAUCGUUGACAACACAAACAUUUCUCUUUGGGAGAUGUGGCCCUAUAUCCACAUGGUGAGGACGUGUGUGUGUGUGUGUGUGUGUGUGUGUGUGUGUGUGUGUGUGUGUGUGUGUGUGAUAUGCAUAUGAUUUCUAGUUUAGUUAGUCCCAGCUACCAGGCAUUGCAGAGAUAUUUUAAUGUUAUUUUUGUAACUCUCCACUUAUUUUCUAGUCAUUGUCACAUCCUUUGUACAUGAGAACCUAAACAGCAUCUGACUCACUACAAGACUGGUUGAAGCUGGUUUCCAGAUGACUUCCUACUAGGUGGCGCUAGAGGCGGAGUCAGAUAGUUUCCUCUUGGUUAGACAUGUUGUUGAUAAAUCUGACACUUUAUUCUACUUUUUACGAUGUUAUUAAUAUCCCAAUUGGUCUUCUGACAGACAAAUGGACAGAUUAAACAGAUUCAUGUCAUAAUAAAGUAUUCUUUCUCUCAGGGGAUGCGACAGGGUGACUAUGACAUCACUAUGAUGGAGCUGCCUAAAGGCUAUCCUCAGGAAAAAAUCUCCAUCAACAAGCUGUACAGGUCAGAAACAACCUCUUCAUUAACAGCCUACAUUCUCACAGUGUAUACACAGUACAUGUGCAUUGGGGUAGGAUUGUAUACUUGUUUAUCAGUUUUACAGCCGACAAUAGAUUGUUAUUACUUAUCUAUAAAUUACACAUUGGUUAUCAAUUCAAUGAUAAAAAAGCUGUGUUAUCUCCCUAUAGAUGGUGUAAGCAUAAGAUCCCCAAGCGUAAGUUCAGGUACUUUGAGGCUCGCUGGGAAGAAGCUUACAACAUCUGGCAUGUAUUUAACGACAGCUACUCCAUAAACCGCUGGAAGAGAAGCAAAGAGAAAUGGAACGUCCAGUGAUGAAGACAUGCUGGCCUUCUCCCCCCCCCAAAGUCCCCAAAAUCCAGAACAAAUUCAAGAAAAUGUACAGUAUUAUAUAGAGCCCUUAUUGCAUGGAACUUCCUUCCAUCUCAUAUUACUCAAAUAAACAGCAAACCUGGUUUCAAAAAACAGAUAAAGCAACACCUCGUGGCACAACGCCUCUCCCCUAUUUGACCUAGAUAGUUUAUGUGUAUGUAUUGAUAUGUAGGCUACGUGUGCCUUUUAAAAAUGUAUGUAGUUCUGUCCUUGAGCUGUUCUUGUCUAAUGAUGUUCUGUAUUAUGUCAUUCUGUAUUAUGUUUCAUGUUUUGUGUUGACCCCAGGAAGAGUAGCUGCUGCUUUUGCAACAGAUAAUGGGGAUCCUAUUAAAAUACCAA